Molecule: ribosomal RNA, 450 nt
Filed under: uncultured bacterium
Lineage: Bacteria
Description: bacterial SSU rRNA
Rfam family: Bacterial small subunit ribosomal RNA
Source: RNAcentral
CGCGCCUAACACAUGCAAGUCGAACGAGCAAAGAGGAGCUUGCUUCUCGAGCGAGUGGCGAACGGGUGAGUAACGCGUGAGGAACCUGCCUUAAGAGGGGACAACAGUUGGAAACGACUGACUAAUACCGCAUAAGCCCAACGGUGCCGCAUGGCACAGAGGGAAAAGGAGCAAUCCGCUUUGAGAUGGCCUCGCGUCCGAUUAGCUAGUUGGUGAGGUAACGGCCCACCAAGGCGACGAUCGGUAGCCGGACUGAGAGGUUGAACGGCCACAUUGGGACUGAGACACGGCCCAGACUCCUACGGGAGGCAGCAGUGGGGGAUAUUGCACAAUGGGGGAAACCCUGAUGCAGCGACGCCGCGUGGAGGAAGAAGGUUUUCGGAUUGUAAACUCCUGUCGUUAGGGACGAUAAUGACGGUACCUAACAAGAAAGCACCGGCUAACUACGUG